This 448-nucleotide ribosomal RNA is filed under the name uncultured bacterium. RNAcentral describes it as "bacterial SSU rRNA". It matches the Rfam family "Bacterial small subunit ribosomal RNA", at positions 329 to 794 of the family's 1533-position model. The record is from RNAcentral.
UGCCAGACUCCUACGGGAGGCAGCAGUGGGGAAUAUUGCACAAUGGGCGAAAGCCUGAUGCAGCGACGCCGCGUGAGUGAAGAAGUAUUUCGGUAUGUAAAGCUCUAUCAGCAGGGAAGAAAAUGACGGUACCUGACUAAGAAGCCCCGGCUAACUACGUGCCAGCAGCCGCGGUAAUACGUAGGGGGCAAGCGUUAUCCGGAUUUACUGGGUGUAAAGGGAGUGUAGGUGGCAUAACAAGUCAGAAGUGAAAGCCCGGGGCUCAACCGCGGGACUGCUUUGGAAACUGUAUGGCUGGAGUGCAGGAGAGGUAAGUGGAAUUCCUAGUGUAGCGGUGAAAUGCGUAGAUAUUAGGAGGAACACCAGUGGCGAAGGCGGCUUACUGGACUGUAACUGACGUUGAGGCUCGAAAGCGUGGGGAGCAAACAGGAUUAGAUACCCCAGUAGG